AUCAUUAUUGAAUUAUCUUGAUGGGUUGUCGCUGGCCUCUUGAGGCAUGUGCACGCCUGUCUUGACUCUAUUCAUCCACCUGUGCACCUAUUGUAGUCCUUUACUUUUUGAGAGUCAUGAAAACAGGCUUUUUGUUCAGUUGAAACACACUGGAUUUGGGGAUUGCCUCUGGCUUCUCCCCUUGUGGCCUUGUGGAAUUGUGUUCUCAUGAGAAAAGGGCUAUGUUCUUUUAUCAUAAACCAUUUAGUAUGUCAUAAGAAUGUAUUCAAUGGGCCUUUGUGCCUAUAAAACCUUAUACAACUUUCAGCAACGGAUCUCUUGGCUCUCGCAUCGAUGAAGAACGCAGCGAAAUGCGAUAAGUAAUGUGAAUUGCAGAAUUCAGUGAAUCAUCGAAUCUUUGAACGCACCUUGCGCUCCUUGGUAUUCCGAGGAGCAUGCCUGUUUGAGUGUCAGUAAAUUCUCAACCUCUCUGGCUUUUUUGCCAGUUGGGGCUUGGAUUUGGGGGUGUUGCGGGCCUUCUAGGUCAGCUCCUCUAAAAUGCAUUAGCGGAACCGUUUGCGAUCCGUCACAGGUGUGAUAAUUAUCUACGCCAGUGGGUUGCUCUCUGUCUUGUUCAGCUACYAACUGUCUGCACAGGACAAACUUAUUGAAUAUUUGACCUCAAAUCAGGUAGGACUACCCGCUGAACUUAA
This 692-nucleotide ribosomal RNA is filed under the name Cyphomyrmex longiscapus fungal symbiont NJM-2012. RNAcentral's name for it is "eukaryotic LSU rRNA". The stretch from base 299 to 452 matches the Rfam family "5.8S ribosomal RNA". Lineage: Eukaryota; Fungi; Basidiomycota; Agaricomycetes; Agaricales; Agaricaceae. The record is from RNAcentral.